GCCCGUAGCUCAACUGGUUAGAGCCGACCGCUCAUAACGGUCUGGUUGCAGGUUCGAGUCCUGCCGGGC
RNAcentral lists this transfer RNA (69 nucleotides) under Rhodospirillales bacterium RIFCSPLOWO2_01_FULL_65_14. Its description in RNAcentral is "tRNA-Met". It matches the Rfam family "tRNA". Rfam says of the family: Transfer RNA (tRNA) molecules are approximately 80 nucleotides in length. Their secondary structure includes four short double-helical elements and three loops (D, anti-codon, and T loops). Further hydrogen bonds mediate the characteristic L-shaped molecular structure. tRNAs have two regions of fundamental functional importance: the anti-codon, which is responsible for specific mRNA codon recognition, and the 3' end, to which the tRNAs corresponding amino acid is attached (by aminoacyl-tRNA synthetases). tRNAs cope with the degeneracy of the genetic code in two manners: having more than one tRNA (with a specific anti-codon) for a particular amino acid; and 'wobble' base-pairing, i.e. permitting non-standard base-pairing at the 3rd anti-codon position. Lineage: Bacteria; Pseudomonadati; Pseudomonadota; Alphaproteobacteria; Rhodospirillales. The record is from RNAcentral.